UUGGAGGAUUUGAAAACUUUAACUUGCGAACUUGAAGAAUUUGAAAACUCCAACUUGCAUACUUGGAGGAUUUGAAGACUUUAACU
Molecule: microRNA precursor, 86 nt
Filed under: Solanum tuberosum (potato)
Lineage: Eukaryota; Viridiplantae; Streptophyta; Magnoliopsida; Solanales; Solanaceae
Description: MIR8024 microRNA precursor family
Rfam family: MIR8024 microRNA precursor family
Source: Rfam by way of RNAcentral